Molecule: ribosomal RNA, 810 nt
Filed under: uncultured bacterium
Lineage: Bacteria
Description: bacterial SSU rRNA
Rfam family: Bacterial small subunit ribosomal RNA
Source: RNAcentral
AGAGUUUGAUCCUGGCUCAGAACGAACGCUGGCGGCGUGGAUAAGACAUGCAAGUCGAACGAGAUUUUUUCCUGUAGCAAUACAGGGAAAAGUCUAGUGGCGAACGGGUGCGUAACACGUGGGCAAUCUGCCUUAAAGUGGGGGAUAGCUCGGCGAAAGCCGAAUUAAUACCGCAUGUGAUCAGGGGAGACAUCUUCCCGAAAUCAAAAGUGGCGCAAGCUACUGCUUUUUGAGGAGCCCGCGGCCUAUCAGCUAGUUGGUGAGGUAACGGCUCACCAAGGCUUUGACGGGUAGCUGGUCUGAGAGGACGACCAGUCACACUGGAACUGAGACACGGUCCAGACACCUACGGGUGGCAGCAGUCGAGAAUUUUUCUCAAUGGGGGCAACCCUGAAGGAGCGACGCCGCGUGGAGGAUGAAGGUCUUCGGGUUGUAAACUCCUGUCAUUUGGGAACAAGUGUCGGUACCUAACUGCUACCGGCUUGAUAGUACCAGAAGAGGAAGGGACGGCUAACUCUGUGCCAGCAGCCGCGGUAAUACAGAGGUCUCAAGCGUUGUUCGGAUUCAUUGGGCGUAAAGGGUGUGUAGGUGGCGCCGUAAGUCGGGUGUGAAAUUUCGGAGCUUAACUCCGAAACUGCAUUCGAUACUGCGGUGCUUGAGGACUGGAGAGGAGACUGGAAUUCAUGGUGUAGCAGUGAAAUGCGUAGAGAUCAUGAGGAAGACCAGUGGCGAAGGCGGGUCUCUGGACAGUUCCUGACACUGAGACACGAAGGCCAGGGGAGCAAAUGGGAUUAGAUACCCCAGUAGUCC